UUCCAACAAUGGACACAAUCCGUCGGAAUAUGUUAAGCUUCCAGAAUACGGGACAGAGGCUACAGCAACGGAACAUGAAGAUGAAUAUUCUUCACUCCAACUCUCCAGGUUCCUGCCAGCGCAGUACCUCGCAGGUCCCGGUUUAAGAAGGGGACACAAUGGGGGAACGGUUGAACUAGGGAGGUGGUACCAUCCAUCUUCUGUAAUACAUCUAAAAACAAAACGGAAGCGAAUGUUCCGUUUCCUGGAGCUAACAAAACGCUGCAGCUCUCCCGUCUGCCUCUGUGAACGUGAUUCAAUCUGCGUUUGGUCCGGAGAUGAGAAAAUGCGAGCUUCGUCGGUAUUGCACCCUUCUUGGGGACGUGGUUUAGCAAGGGGAGAAUGGUAAAAAUAAAUACUGGAAAGGAAAAUUUAUUAGUCACAAUUAAUCGUUUACCGGUGUGCUCCGGGAGGGGAGGGUUAAGAAAGCUAAGAAAGCAAACAACCUCGUGGGGUGCUACCACCACAAUCCUCGGACGGUCAUUAGUGAAAGCUGCAAAGUUUACUGGAGGAAGAUAAACAGCAUCGAGCGAACACGGUGCCAAACAAUACGGGAAAGGAUGCAACAAGAAAGAAAGGACACGAGAGAGGAUCAACCCCCGAAGGGCCAAUUGGGCGAACGCGGGCAUCUCACCGACACACAGACACUGGCACACUGUGCCAGAUUGUAGUGUAGUGUAACAACGUUCUUAGCUUGUGGCAUAAAUCCACCAGCACUCUCGCACGGGGGAGGAACUCAAACAAGUGUUACCCAUUUAUAAGACUCGGGAAAACUGCCCCGUUUUUCCUUCCCCAUUGCAUUUGUCUGCUGUUUUGUGGGGAGAAAAUACAACGGUUUUGUUACUGCACUUGGGCAGCGCGCAAGUGCAUCCAGAUGAUGAUGUUGAUGAUGAUGAUUGUGUGCUCGCAUAUCGUGUGUCUUGGCGUUGUUUGCAAGCGCAAGGGAUAAUAUUCUUGUGCCUCUCGUGACAUGCAGCAGUGAUUAGCUUUGGGCGGAGUUUAUGUUUCAAUGUCAGCAACGUUGUCGGGAAUGAAGUGGAACCACGGUUGGGAUGUUGUGCAAGAAAGGUGUAUUUAUGGGUUGUGUGUGUUUUUUAAGAUUAAAAUAAAUCUAUCUUAUGUUUUGUAGUUUGUGCAACACGAUCGCUAAGCUGGCUGUCUGUGGAGGUUUGUUUUGCAUUAGGAAAUCAACACAUCUAUCAAGAAUAUCUGAUAUUAAGGAUCGGAAUGAUCAUUCUUCUUCUUCCUCUUUGGCUCAACAACUGUUUUCGGUCUAGGCCUGCCGGUACCACUUGUGGGCUUGGCUUUCAGUGACUUAUUGAUUUCUCCCCAAAGCAGGAUAGUCAGCCCUACGGAGUGCCGCAACAUGUCAUGAACAUCACGAGAUUUUCACCAACGAAAACAAUGAACAUAUCCGUGGUAGCUUGAUGUGCAUUGCUGAUACUCAAUGAAAGUGCGUCAUGACAUGCCGAAUGCGACGUGCGAGUGCUUGAGUCAAACUCGAUACUCUGACUGACAAGCUGAGCUUAAAACCAGCGCAAACAUAUUAAUGAUUUUUUCUAGCUGUGAACAGUGCUGCCAAAUGCCACUGUUUCAGUCAUCAACACUCAUGAGUGAAAAGAAACUCAAAUCAGAUCACGUACACAGUCAGUACACAGCUCAGAUGAUCAGAGGUAAGACUCAAACAGCUGGUGGACCAAUCACAUGCUUGAUGACAUUUUGAUUAGCACCCAACUCUUGAUCAUUCACUUGGUCACGUCAUUUUGUGUAUAUACUUGGCGUGUGGUUUCCUAGCAGCAAAAUGAGCAUGCUUUGUCUCUCUCUGUCUAGUUUGAUGGUCUGUCGGGUCAAAUAGAGUGAGAAACAAUGCGCAUUUUGUUUCUUGGAAUAACUCGCACGCACCUCAUAUCUCCCAUGACAAUCGCAAUGAUCACCGACUGAAAAUGUCGCGACCAAGUGACUGACCAAGAGUUGGUUGCACACAAUGUCACCAAGCAUGUGAUGGUCGCACCAACUGUUUGAGUAUCACCUCUGAUCAUCACAGUAGAGCUCGUGAAGCUGACAUGAUUUUAUUUCAGCCGUUAUUUGUCAUGACUAUGUCAUUGGCAUAUUGCGGAACUGAUCACAGUAAAAAAAAGUCAUGACAUAGUGACUGACCAAACGGUGGUCGCAAAAAUGUCAUGAAGCAUGUAUUGAUCACACCAACCGAUUUGAGUAUCACCUCUGAUUAUCACGAUUGUGUACAUGACGCUGACAUGGAUUUUGUUUCAGUCAGAUUUUUGUAUGACAUUGACAGUGACAUUUUGCAGCCCUGGUCCUACGUAUGGUGGCACGGUCCAUCCGGGGCUUGAACCCAUGAAAGGCAUGUUGUUAAGUCGAACGAGAUGACGAAUGUACCACGAAUUAACAAAUACAACAAGCCAUAAUAUGCAAGAGAUUGUUCGCCCUAUAAACCCACCAAUAACAGAGGUUAAGGGUGUGAAUACUCACACAAGAGAAUCUCAAUUCCAUCUCAACGCGUCUGAUUAAAUGGCAAGAAACAGAGUAAUGGCCAACAUCGAUCUGAUAAUACAAGAGAUCUGAUAACAAGAUGGCAAAAAGAACAACUGACAGACGAAAAGUCGCGAUGCGGCUUUUGUUACGUCGACAGUUAUUUUGGAGAACUGGGGCAAAGAAUGUAUUAAAAAAAAUGCCGUAAUAAUAAAAAAGUGGUCAACUUGUUUGUUUAAAAUUACAUUUUUUAUCAAAACUACUCAACUGUCUUCUAGCAUUUAAAAACGUAUAUUAAAAACGUUUCUGUCUGUUUAAAGUAAAAUGGGAAAACCCGUUUGAUUGUUACAUACAUUUUAAAUGAGAUGUUUGAUUAGAAAUUCAAAUUGCUAUAUUUUAUGUUCUUUCGAUCGCAGAGGUGGUCGAAUAAAACUCACGCGUUACUAAUAAAUUUACUAACGUAUAUAUUCAAUUUCACUUGGUUACAAUUUGGUGUUGGCUUCGAGCACGCUUCCUUGCUGACCGCUAGUUCUUCAGUGCGCGCUGGUGUUUGGCGGUCAACGUCCGUGACCGCGCAACCGAUGACCCCCGGAUCGAUCACACGCAUACAUUGACGGAUGACGCUUUGCUGUCAUCCACGAUACCCCUCGAGCCUACGCGGAAGUCUUCUAAGCCUAGAAGACCGGCGUGGCGACCGUAUCGGCUGCUGGCGUUUUGUAGUAGCGAACGGGAUUGGGCGUGGAGAUGGUUGUGUGGGUGACGCGCUAGUUUGAUGGUCCGUCAAGGGAACAGAACUCGAUUCCGCUACCGCGCUGUCCGUCAGCAGAUCAAACGGCAAAUGAUCUAUGUCCACGUCCUCGCUGGAAGCCCCCACGACCGAAUCACGUUUUCGCAGCUGGUUCACAUGGCGCCUGUGAACCCGUUGAUUGUUCGUCUGCACCUCGAACAUAACGCUGCCCAUCUCUCGUAUGAUUUGCGCCGGAACCCACUUCCAUGAAUUCCGCGCAUAGAACUUGGCGUAGACGAGGUCACCGCGCUGAAAUCGUCUAUCCAAGUUGGCCGGUUCUGCUUGCGCUGCAGGUGGAGGUUUCAACAGUGCCAACGCUGUUCGCAUUUUUCUGCCUAGCAUGGCUUCAGCUGGCGACUGCAUGUCCAGCAAAAUAGCGUUGGGGGUUGACCGGUAGCUCGCCAGAAAAACGUCAAGCGCUUCGUCCUGCGUUGUUCCCCCUUCCUGGAUCUUCCUCAUCGACCGCUUGAAGGUGUCAACAAAGCGCUCCGCCUGCCCAUUCGAUUGCGGAUGGAAUGGCGCAGUUGUGACGUGCUGUAUACCGCGACUACUGCAAUACUCCGAAAACUCAGCACUGACAAAUUGUGGCCCGUUGUCGCUCACCAUCGUUUCCGGGUAUCCAAAUCUCGCAAAGAUUGACCUCAGUAUCGCGAUCGUUGCUGCUGAUGUGGUAUUUCGCGUUCGUAUCACCUCUGGCCACUUGGUAAACGCGUCUACCACGAUCAGAAAAUAGUCACCAUCGAUUGGCCCAGCGAAAUCGAUGUGAAUACGUUCCCAAGGUUUCUGUGUCGCUGGCCAGGGAACAGGUUUUUCGCGAGGUGAAGUCUUUGCCGCUAUCGCACAAGCAUGGCAUCCCUUUACGUGCUCCGUUAUGUCCUUAUCAACGGAUGGCCAGUACACGUAACUCCGAGCCUUCGACUUCAUUCGCUGGAUACCGGGGUGCCCUUCAUGUAGUUGCUUCAAGCAACGCUGCUGCAGCUUGCUAGGGAUCACCACUCUUUCCCCAAACAAAAUGCAACCACGCACCGUGGUUAGGGCUUCGCUUCUGUGGUAAAAGCAAGCCAGCUCUGCAGCAUAUGCGACAUUUUGGGGCCACCCUUCCAUGAUGUAUCCGUAAACCUUCUUCAGGACAGGGUCGGACUCCGUGGCCUUCGCAACGUCUCUAAAAUUGAGUGGAAAUA
Long non-coding RNA from Anopheles gambiae (African malaria mosquito), 4497 nucleotides. RefSeq lists it as uncharacterized. Lineage: Eukaryota; Metazoa; Arthropoda; Insecta; Diptera; Culicidae. The record is from RefSeq and is a predicted model, not a curated record. The transcript has 2 exons.